UCCCCUGUGGUGUAAUCGGCAACACGUCUGAUUUUGGUUCAGGUGUUCCAGGUUCGAGUCCUGGCAGGGGAG
RNAcentral lists this transfer RNA (72 nucleotides) under Streptomyces sp. LcepLS. Its description in RNAcentral is "tRNA_Gln_TTG". It matches the Rfam family "tRNA". From Rfam's summary of the family: Transfer RNA (tRNA) molecules are approximately 80 nucleotides in length. Their secondary structure includes four short double-helical elements and three loops (D, anti-codon, and T loops). The record is from RNAcentral. Lineage: Bacteria; Bacillati; Actinomycetota; Actinomycetes; Kitasatosporales; Streptomycetaceae. RNAcentral also lists the same sequence under 9 other names.